GGGGAACUGGCGGCUGCUAUAAUGCAAGUCGAGCGGACAGAAGGGAGCUUGCUCCCGGAUGUUAGCGGCGGACGGGUGAGUAACACGUGGGUAACCUGCCUGUAAGACUGGGAUAACUCCGGGAAACCGGAGCUAAUACCGGAUAGUUCCUUGAACCGCAUGGUUCAAGGAUGAAAGACGGUUUCGGCUGUCACUUACAGAUGGACCCGCGGCGCAUUAGCUAGUUGGUGAGGUAACGGCUCACCAAGGCGACGAUGCGUAGCCGACCUGAGAGGGUGAUCGGCCACACUGGGACUGAGACACGGCCCAGACUCCUACGGGAGGCAGCAGUAGGGAAUCUUCCGCAAUGGACGAAAGUCUGACGGAGCAACGCCGCGUGAGUGAUGAAGGUUUUCGGAUCGUAAAGCUCUGUUGUUAGGGAAGAACAAGUGCAAGAGUAACUGCUUGCACCAUGACGGUACCUAACCAGAAAGCCACGGCUAACUACGUGCCAGCAGCCGCGGUAAUACGUAGGUGGCAAGCGUUGUCCGGAAUUAUUGGGCGUAAAGGGCUCGCAGGCGGUUUCUUAAGUCUGAUGUGAAAGCCCCCGGCUCAACCGGGGAGGGUCAUUGGAAACUGGGAAACUUGAGUGCAGAAGAGGAGAGUGGAAUUCCACGUGUAGCGGUGAAAUGCGUAGAGAUGUGGAGGAACACCAGUGGCGAAGGCGACUCUCUGGUCUGUAACUGACGCUGAGGAGCGAAAGCGUGGGGAGCGAACAGGAUUAGAUACCCUGGUAGUCCACGCCGUAAACGAUGAGUGCUAAGUGUUAGGGGUUUCCGCCCCUUAGUGCUGCAGCUAACGCAUUAAGCACUCCGCCUGGGGAGUACGGUCGCAAGACUGAAACUCAAGGAAUUGACGGGGGCCCGCACAAGCGUUGGAGCAUGUGGUUUAAUUCGAAGCAACGCGAAGAACCUUACCAGGUCUUGACAUCCUCUGACACCCU
RNAcentral lists this ribosomal RNA (982 nucleotides) under Bacillus aerophilus. Its description in RNAcentral is "bacterial SSU rRNA". It matches the Rfam family "Bacterial small subunit ribosomal RNA", at positions 28 to 1000 of the family's 1533-position model. The record is from RNAcentral. Lineage: Bacteria; Bacillati; Bacillota; Bacilli; Caryophanales; Bacillaceae.